Molecule: ribosomal RNA, 465 nt
Filed under: uncultured bacterium
Lineage: Bacteria
Description: partial 16S ribosomal RNA
Rfam family: Bacterial small subunit ribosomal RNA
Source: RNAcentral
GAUGAACGCUGGCGGCGUGCUUAACACAUGCAAGUCGAACGGAAAGGCUCCUGCUUGCAGGGGUACUCGAGUGGCGAACGGGUGAGUAACACGUGGGUGAUCUGCCCUGCACUUCGGGAUAAGCCUGGGAAACUGGGUCUAAUACCGGAUAGGACGAUGGUUUGGAUGCCAUUGUGGAAAGUUUUUCGGUGUGGGAUGAGCUCGCGGCCUAUCAGCUUGUUGGUGGGGUAAUGGCCUACCAAGGCGUCGACGGGUAGCCGGCCUGAGAGGGUGUACGGCCACAGAGGGACUGAGAUACGGCCAAGACUGCAACGGGAGGAAGGAGUGAGGAAUAGUGCAAAAUGGGCGGAAGCAUGAAGCAGGGACGCCGGGUGGGGGAUGACGGCCUUCGGGGUGUAAACGCCGUUCGUCAGGGACGAAGAGAAAGUGACGGUACCUGGAUAAGAAGCACCGGCUAACUACGUG